AAACCGUUUGGAAGAAUGUUUUAUAUUCAGUCAGGACAGUGCUGCACUGGGGCUUUUACACAGCUCAAAGACAGUUGGAGAAAAUGAUGACUGGCCUUGCUGGUGAUAGGAAAGGCAGCCUGGAGAUGCCAUUCCUGAAGAGAGAAUGAGGAUCGCAUUACAGACGGAGCUAUGAAAGGAUCAGGAGGACUGGAGCGGUCAGAAGACAGGAAGAGUUAAGACAUCGAAGCCCUGAAGAGAAAGAGUGCAGGAGCUUGAGGUUUUGGCGAGCGAGCUUCAUGUUGGUCCUCCAGGGUAGAGACAUUUUAAAGGAAGAAAUUCCAGAUUAGAAUUUUAAAAUUUUCUGAAGCAGUUGGAGAGGCCGCCUUUCCUGUUAAUUAUAAGAGCAACUGGAAAAGCAAUCAAGCAGCAACAUUUCGGUAUUCUCCAAAGUUUGUGUAUAGUCAAAGCCACGGUCUCAGCGUUCACUUUGUCGAGACUCCCUCACCUCUUUAUAAUCUCUUCGGAUAGCAGAACAUUCUUCCCCAGCAGAGCCAACCUCAAAGGCAGACAUGCUCCUGCUCUUCAGUGUCUUGGAGCUCUUCUGAGCUUGUACUUUGCCCACCCUCCCUAAUUCUGUUGCUCUUUAUGCCCGGCUACCAUCUUCUCAGCUUGUCAGAUUCUAACAAUCCACUUAACUCAUUGCAGCAUUUUUCUCUCACUGCAAAUAGAAAGGACAAGUCUACUGCAUCUUCCACAUGAUCAUUUCUCAAAUAUCAAAAAGUACAGCUAGAGUAGACUACUUACAUUUGGGGUUUUCUUUCCCCAGAUUAAAUACCCCUAAUUGCCUUGAUUCUAAUGGUUUGUCAAAAUUAUGACCUAAUAUAUUUGUGAUAACAUAUAAUAAAGUAGAAUCUAAAAAUUGCAA
Molecule: long non-coding RNA, 907 nt
Filed under: Mus musculus (house mouse)
Lineage: Eukaryota; Metazoa; Chordata; Mammalia; Rodentia; Muridae
Description: predicted gene, 31904 (Gm31904)
Source: RNAcentral